This 253-nucleotide ribosomal RNA is filed under the name uncultured bacterium. RNAcentral's name for it is "partial 16S ribosomal RNA". It matches the Rfam family "Bacterial small subunit ribosomal RNA", at positions 524 to 776 of the family's 1533-position model. The record is from RNAcentral.
UACAUGGGGUGCAAACGUUGCUCGGAAUUAUUGGGCGUAAAGCGCACGUAGGCGGUUCGUUAAGUCGGAUGUGAAAGCCCUCGGCUCAACUGAGGAAGUGCACCCGAAACUGGCGAGCUUGAGUACGAAAGAGGAUCGCGGAAUUCCCGGUGUAGUGGUGAAAUGCGUAGAUAUCGGGAGGAACACCAGUGGCGAAGGCGGCUAUCUGGGCUGAAACUGACGCUGAGGCGCGAAGGCUAGGGGAGCAAACAGG